CUCAGAACGAACGCUGGCGGCAGGCUUAACACAUGCAAGUCGAGCGCCGUAGCAAUACGGAGCGGCAGACGGGUGAGUAACGCGUGGGAACAUACNNNUCGGUUCGGAAUAACGCAGGGAAACUUGUGCUAAUACCGGAUACGGACGAGAGUCGAAAGAUUUAUCGCCGAAGGAUUGGCCCGCGUUCGAUUAGCUAGUUGGUGUGGUAACGGCGCACCAAGGCGACGAUCGAUAGCUGGUCUGAGAGGAUGAUCAGCCACAUUGGGACUGAGACACGGCCCAAACUCCUACGGGAGGCAGCAGUGGGGAAUAUUGGACAAUGGGCGCAAGCCUGAUCCAGCCAUGCCGCGUGAGUGAUGACGGCCUUAGGGUUGUAAAGCUCUUUCGCUAGGGACGAUAAUGACGGUACCUAGAUAAGAAGCCCCGGCUAACUUCGUGCCAGCAGCCGCGGUAAUACGAAGGGGGCUAGCGUUGUUCGGAAUUACUGGGCGUAAAGCGCGUGUAGGCGGGCUUUUAAGUCAGGGGUGAAAUGCCAAGGCUCAACCUUGGAACUGCCUUUGAUACUGGAAGUCUUGAGUCCGGGAGAGGUGAGUGGAACUGCGAGUGUAGAGGUGAAAUUCGUAGAUAUUCGCAAGAACACCAGUGGCGAAGGCGGCUCACUGGCCCGGAACUGACGCUGAGACGCGAAAGCGUGGGGAGCAAACAGGAUUAGAUACCCUGGUAGUCCACGCUGUAAACGAUGGAUGCUAGCCGUUGGGGAGCUUGCUCUUCAGUGGCGCAGCUAACGCUUUAAGCAUCCCGCCUGGGGAGUACGGUCGCAAGAUUAAAACUUAAAUGAAUUGACGG
This 846-nucleotide ribosomal RNA is filed under the name uncultured bacterium. RNAcentral describes it as "bacterial SSU rRNA". It matches the Rfam family "Bacterial small subunit ribosomal RNA", at positions 23 to 916 of the family's 1533-position model. The record is from RNAcentral.